Molecule: long non-coding RNA, 790 nt
Filed under: Capsella grandiflora
Lineage: Eukaryota; Viridiplantae; Streptophyta; Magnoliopsida; Brassicales; Brassicaceae
Description: long non-coding RNA (CGRA_LNC001382)
Source: RNAcentral
UAUAAGUGUGGCUUCAAGCUCUCCAAUUAUACAAAAAAAAAACAAUCCACAUAUAUUAUAUAGUUUGUCAUGGCGAGGCGUAUGCGUAAAUCCAAAGGGUGUGAUUGCUGCACAGCUUGGUGUAUCAUCUUAACCAUUCUAAUCCUCGUCUUCGUCAUUGCAUUACUCUUGGUAUUGGAGGUAUACAAACCGAAAAUACCUAUAAAGCAGAUCUGAUCAGCCAUGAGACACCUUACUAGGCAUCAUAUAUAUCCUUGCCGUUUGAUGUUCAGCUCGGUUCCACACUAACUAGUCUCCAUAUUCUGCUCGAGGCUUAAGCAUGAGAUAUGUUAUUGAUCUUCUCUCAGGUACAUUGUCCGCUUAAGGUUCCUUGAUUCCACCGACUUACUCUUCAUAUCGAUAAGUUUGUUUCAGAUAUGAGUGACAUUAUUGCAAGAUCUAUUUGGAGGAAAGAUUGUGUUAGAAACAAAGACAAAAGCUCCCAGGGGAGUUCAAAGCUGUUGUGAAUCUUCAAGGCACACACUUUAGUUGCUAUAUCGGAUUGUAAAAUCAAUAUGGACUUCCCUUCUAUCAAAGUGUAGAACCAAGAAUGUAGAAUGAGUGCUAAUUCGUAGAACUGAAGUCGUCUUUUUGGUAAACAUAUAGGGAAAAGAAUAGAUUUUUAUGUCAGCUCCAUUGUAUAUUUCUCAUUCUCUCUCGAUCCUAAGUUCAUUCUGAAUCUUCAAUUGAAAUUUCUCAGAGACUAGAGAAGCUACAAAGAUCAUUACCAGAAAGAGGGAAAGAACAAAAG